Molecule: ribosomal RNA, 253 nt
Filed under: uncultured bacterium
Lineage: Bacteria
Description: partial 16S ribosomal RNA
Rfam family: Bacterial small subunit ribosomal RNA
Source: RNAcentral
GACAGAGGGUGCAAACGUUGCUCGGAAUUACUGGGCGUAAAGGGCGCGCAGGCGGCCCACCAAGUACGAUGUGAAAUCUCCCUGCUCAACGGGGAGGGUGCACUGUAAACUGGUGAGCUAGAGGACGGUAGAGGGAUGCGGAAUUCCAGGUGUAGCGGUGAAAUGCGUAGAUAUCUGGAGGAACACCGGUGGCGAAGGCGGCAUCCUGGACCAAUAUUGACGCUGAGGAGCGAAAGCCAGGGGAGCAAACGGG